CCAAUUUUACCCUCAUCUUUAAUGAAGAGUAAAAGACAUUUAUAACCUUUGACAAAAAAAACAUAUGGUUAGGUUAACUAAUCUAAACUUAAAACAUCAACUCUAAACCUUAAAUCAUCAACUCUAAACCCUAAACCAUGAAACAUCAAUUCUAAACCCUAAACUCCGAAACAUAGACUUUAAACCUUAAACCCUAAAACUUCAAAUCUAAACCCUAAAACAUCAACUCUAAACCCUAAACGUAAACUCUAAACCCUAAAUUUAAACUUAAAACAUCAACUUUAAACCCUAAAUCAUCAACUCUAAACCCUAAACCCUAAACCUUCAAAUCAAAACACUAAAACAUCAACUCUAAACCCUAAACGUAAACCCUAAACCCUAAACCUUAUAUUUUUCUGAAAUCUGAAC
This 408-nucleotide long non-coding RNA is filed under the name Brassica napus (rape). RNAcentral's name for it is "long non-coding RNA (BNAP_LNC017960)". Lineage: Eukaryota; Viridiplantae; Streptophyta; Magnoliopsida; Brassicales; Brassicaceae. The record is from RNAcentral.